RNAcentral lists this ribosomal RNA (434 nucleotides) under uncultured bacterium. Its description in RNAcentral is "partial 16S ribosomal RNA". It matches the Rfam family "Bacterial small subunit ribosomal RNA", at positions 341 to 792 of the family's 1533-position model. The record is from RNAcentral.
ACGGGAGGCAGCAGUGGGGGAUAUUGCACAAUGGGGGAAACCCUGAUGCAGCGACGCCGCGUGAGUGAAGAAGUAUUUCGGUAUGUAAAGCUCUAUCAGCAGGAAAGAUAAUGACGGUACCUGACUAAGAAGCACCGGCUAAAUACGUGCCAGCAGCCGCGGUAAUACGUAUGGUGCAAGCGUUAUCCGGAUUUACUGGGUGUAAAGGGAGCGCAGACGGCAUGGCAAGCCAGAUGUGAAAUGCGGGGGCUCAACUCCUGAACUGCAUUUGGAACUGUCAAGCUAGAGUAUCGGAGAGGUAAGUGGAAUUCCUAGUGUAGCGGUGAAAUACGUAGAUAUUAGGAGGAACACCAGUGGCGAAGGCGGCUUACUGGACGAUAACUGACGUUGAGGCUCGAAAGCGUGGGGAGCAAACAGGAUUAGAUACCCUGGUA